Misgurnus anguillicaudatus (oriental weatherfish) is the source of this 2057-nucleotide non-coding RNA. The record is from RefSeq and is a predicted model, not a curated record. NCBI's taxonomy places the organism in Eukaryota, Metazoa, Chordata, Actinopteri, Cypriniformes, Cobitidae.
CACUGUUAGACAUUUCUGUAAUUUUUACAGUUAUUUACUGUAUAUCACCCAGUAUAAUACUGUAAACUAUUUAUACAGUACAUAACUGUAAUUCGCGUUGCAUUUUGGGAAUUUUCUGUGACAUCAUACAUCAUAUACAGUAAUUUACUGUAUUUUUGAAAAUUGCUGUAUGCUACUGUAUAUUUUCUAACAGUCUUUUGGCGGCAUUUUCCUUAUUCACACAAAUCCUUAUUUUAUUUUUCUCAAAAUCAUCAUUUUUGACAAUUGUAUACACACAGGCGUUGACUUAUUUUAGCUAAGGAACCAUGUAGCAGCACAGGUGUUCAGAGGACCGAUUUCAGGUGUGCACAUAAGCUGAAGAGUUUUCAAACAAGACUUUCCCUGAGACAGCACAGCGGCGCUUUUCAGUUGAAGAUACACGAGAGGAGAGAAUGAAAAAAGACCAGCAAGGAUAAAUUAAGGAGGAUGUAACAAAAUACACUGCAAGAACUGGAAUGAGAGACAAGUGAGGAUGAAGAGGACAACAGAAUAUCCAUCCUUUCUUCACCACCUCACAGAGUUUGAGUGAAACAACUUGUAUUAGGACUCACAGGAUUAUUUUAUAACAAGACUGAUUAUCUUAUACCAGAAGUUUGGUAUUUUUUGAAGCUACUGUAUUAUUUCUUAUGACAAUUCAUUUUGAUGUGCAUUCAGAACUGUAAGUUGGUAAGUACAUUUACUGUAUUUACUGUAAGUAAAGGCUAAAGAGUAUAUCUCCUCUAGUUCUAAGUUCUAACAACGUUCCCAAAGGUCCCAAUAAUGUUAAGCCAACAUAAAAGUGUCCAGUUUUUAAAUUGUUUAGGAAUGUUUCUUGAUUGUCCGAAUGUUAGAGGAAUGUUACAUUUUAUUUUCAGACAAUGUCAUGUUUAAAUAUACUCACAAUGUUUAAAACACAUGUUUAGUAUAUUUUAUGAAUGUUUAUAUGCAAUAUUUUAACAUAACAUUAAGAAAUAAUGUUUUACAACAGUUUGUAAAUAAUAGAAUGUAAUGUUUUUUUAUCAUUACAAGCAAAAACAUUCAUAACGUUAUUGGGAUCUUUGGGAACUUUCAAGGAACGUUCUUAGAACCUUUCUCUGUGGUUGAGCAUUGUGUUAGCAUCAUAAAACGCCAAGGGUUCGAACAAGGGAAUGAUCAUGCUGAUAAAAAAUGUAUACUUUGCAUUGCACUGUAUGUUAUUUGCCUUUUUCUGUAAAUGUGAAGAUAAAUGUAAAGACAGACAGUCAUUGUUUCAUUUUAAACCAGUUCUAUUUUAAGAGAACUUAACUAGACUAAAUAGAAGGGUCACAAAAAUUUUAAUGUUGCUAUUAUGAUGCUGAUUUUGUGGUGUUAUGGGUUUUCUGGUUACAGUGGUAGUGGAUCAUGAUCACCUCUCUAGCUUCAAAAGUAGGAUGCAAAAUGUAUAACACCAAAUCAUUAUAGCAUAACUCCAUGUAACUUGACAUAAUUUAAAGUCAUCUAAAGGCAGACAUGAUUGCGUGUAAGUCCUAUGCCAAAGACUCCAAAUACUGCAUCUACACAUUCUUCCUGAUGUGUAUAUUUUGUUGGUAUAUCCUGGUUGUUGCAGGCCUGACAGUAAACUUGACUGUGAGCAUCCUAUCCAUCAGGUAUAGCUGUUUACUUGCAUUACUUAUUUAGAGAAAUGACGGGUCAAAAUUGAUUAUAUGGAUUAUAUUUUCAUCACCCCUUUUUGUAUGUCUUUGGGACACUUGAAAUAUAUAGCACGUAUAAUGUGGAGCCAUUUUAUAAUGCGGUCACAGACUACUCCCAUUGUAACUAGAAAACCAAAGAAAAUCAUUGUUUAAAUUAUAAAAUUAUAAUUUUUGGAUUAACUAAACCUGUAAUCAGUGUUAUACGUAUGUAUGUUUAUAAUUUGUGUUAUUUUAAAUGUAUUACUGCAAAUGAUUUGAAAUGUGUAUGUUUUAAAUGUAAUUUCACACAACUUCUUAAAGUAUUUGUAUUGUUUUAAAUAAAGGUUUCAAUAUUUAAAAUUGUCUCUUUGAAUUAAAUGUUAGCAGUAU